AUUGAACGCUGGCGGCAGGCCUAACACAUGCAAGUCGAGCGGAUGAAGGGAGAUUGCUCCUGGCUUCAGCGGCGGACGGGUGAGUAAUGCCUAGGAAUCUGCCUGGUCGUGGGGGAUAACGUCCGGAAACGGGCGCUAAUACCGCAUACGUCCUGAGGUAGAAAGUGGGGGAUCUUCGGACCUCACGCUAUCAGAUGAGCCUAGGUCGGAUUAGCUAGUUGGUGGGGUAAAGGCCUACCAAGGCGACGAUCCGUAACUGGUCUGAGAGGAUGAUCAGCCACACUGGAACUGAGACACGGUCCAGACUCCUACGGGAGGCAGCAGUGGGGAAUAUUGGACAAUGGGCGAAAGCCUGAUCCAGCAAUGCCGCGUGUGUGAAGAAGGUCUUCGGAUUGUAAAGCACUUUAAGUAGGGAGGAAGGGCAGUAAGUUAAUACCUUGAUGUUUUGACGGUACCAAAAGAAUAAGCACCGGCUAACUUCGUG
This 484-nucleotide ribosomal RNA is filed under the name uncultured bacterium. RNAcentral describes it as "partial 16S ribosomal RNA". It matches the Rfam family "Bacterial small subunit ribosomal RNA", at positions 30 to 507 of the family's 1533-position model. The record is from RNAcentral.